RNAcentral lists this ribosomal RNA (757 nucleotides) under Escherichia coli. RNAcentral describes it as "partial 23S ribosomal RNA". It matches the Rfam family "Bacterial large subunit ribosomal RNA", at positions 2186 to 2925 of the family's 2925-position model. The record is from RNAcentral. Lineage: Bacteria; Pseudomonadati; Pseudomonadota; Gammaproteobacteria; Enterobacterales; Enterobacteriaceae.
CCGACCUUGAAAUACCACCCUUUAAUGUUUGAUGUUCUAACGUUGACCCGUAAUCCGGGUUGCGGACAGUGUCUGGUGGGUAGUUUGACUGGGGCGGUCUCCUCCUAAAGAGUAACGGAGGAGCACGAAGGUUGGCUAAUCCUGGUCGGACAUCAGGAGGUUAGUGCAAUGGCAUAAGCCAGCUUGACUGCGAGCGUGACGGCGCGAGCAGGUGCGAAAGCAGGUCAUAGUGAUCCGGUGGUUCUGAAUGGAAGGGCCAUCGCUCAACGGAUAAAAGGUACUCCGGGGAUAACAGGCUGAUACCGCCCAAGAGUUCAUAUCGACGGCGGUGUUUGGCACCUCGAUGUCGGCUCAUCACAUCCUGGGGCUGAAGUAGGUCCCAAGGGUAUGGCUGUUCGCCAUUUAAAGUGGUACGCGAGCUGGGUUUAGAACGUCGUGAGACAGUUCGGUCCCUAUCUGCCGUGGGCGCUGGAGAACUGAGGGGGGCUGCUCCUAGUACGAGAGGACCGGAGUGGACGCAUCACUGGUGUUCGGGUUGUCAUGCCAAUGGCACUGCCCGGUAGCUAAAUGCGGAAGAGAUAAGUGCUGAAAGCAUCUAAGCACGAAACUUGCCCCGAGAUGAGUUCUCCCUGACUCCUUGAGAGUCCUGAAGGAACGUUGAAGACGACGACGUUGAUAGGCCGGGUGUGUAAGCGCAGCGAUGCGUUGAGCUAACCGGUACUAAUGAACCGUGAGGCUUAACCUUACAACGCCGAAG